Molecule: long non-coding RNA, 1628 nt
Filed under: Malus domestica (apple)
Lineage: Eukaryota; Viridiplantae; Streptophyta; Magnoliopsida; Rosales; Rosaceae
Description: long non-coding RNA (MDOM_LNC001414)
Source: RNAcentral
AGUUAGAUGCCAUAACUACUGCACUUGCCAUAAAGGUAAUCUGGCUUUGAUACCAAUUGUUGGUAUUCAAAGUUUACUAACUCAAUACCAAAAAUAUGUGGGCGAUAAGUUUUCGAACUUUAUCACACCUCUGACUAUCACUCUCAAUAAAAUUGGACAAACAAAGGAAAGAAGUAGCAAGCUUGUUGAUAACAACACACUUUGAAAUAUUAGAAGAGUUUAUAACUCUUAAAGGUUAAAAGUUGAAAAUGAGAAUUGGAAUUACAAAGAGCAUUACGGGAAGGCUUUCUUAUACUUGCAAAAACAAAAGAACCACACAAGUGGUUUUUUUUUAAUAAACAAAAAUACACACACAUGCAAUCAAUGAUAGUGUUUGCCAUCUUUACACCCUUUCACACAUGCAGCAACUUUUUGGAUAGUUGGCAGACACAUGCAUUGCAUCAUUCUAGGUUGCAAUCACAACCUUUGGGCUAGUAGCUCACACUUUCUGAAAAGUGUUCCAACAAUUUUUGAAAAGUGUUCCAACAAUUUCUGAAAAAUGUUCCAACAAUUUCUCAAAAGUGUUCCACCACUUUCGGCCACUGUAUUUGAUUUGAACUUCCAACAUCUUCACGUCGCUCAAAACUGGUACAUUUGUUGCUGGGUUCACUAGAGAGCAUGGAAAACAAGCUGUGGCUUCCCGGAUGCUGAUUCGGUGUCCUACGUAUUGAGGAAAUGAAAUCUUUCUAAGAAAGAGAUUAACGAUCUUCAGUUUGAAUUUUUUCUAAGAAAGAGACUGAUAUUAUAUCUCUCUGAUCUUUUGUUUCUAAAGAAACUGUGGAUGUAAAAAAAUCACGUAUAUGUUGAAAGAGAAUAGAACAAAGGUUGUGAUCUCUAACUCAAUGAAUGAGCGAAUCUACUGAUCAUUGAUAUUUAUAACAGUACAAAGCUAAUAGUAAUCCGUGGAGGACAAAACUAAUGUACAAGUGAUAACAUAAUUACAAUUCAAAGUAGAUUAGAAAUUGGACCCCUGAUAGGACUAUAUCCAGUCGUGGAAGAAGACAGUAGUUGUUUAUCAUAUGUGAUAAUCUAAGGCAUUAUGUUUGAAAGUGUUAAAAAAGAUCUAGGAAAGAGUAGACCCCAGAGUCUUAAGUUAUUUUUUUUGGGAAAUUACUAAAAAAUAGUAGCCAAUUAUAUAUGAAAUGUUCUUACCGGUAAGCACACAUUCCAUGAGUGAGCUGAAAAUUUACAAAGGUUAUUACCGGUAAGAACGCUUUUAAACUUUCCGAUCUACUAAUGAACGUGUUCUUACCUGUAAGAACACGUGUAAAUUUUCAGCUCUACUAAUGAACGUGUUCUUACCAGUAAGAACACGUUCAUAUUCUAGCGUCAUGUUUUGUACUAACUUCUAAACAAUUAAUUUUAAGCCUCGGGAUCUACUUUUUUCCUAGAUCUUUUAAAAAUAUAUAUGUAUAUAUUCCAAAAUAAUAAGCAAAGAUCUAGAAAAAUGCAUGUCAUAGCAACCCUCACGAAUUGUCGGCAGAAUACAGGGAAUGACAUGUCUUGACAAACCAUGACUUGUCUUGACACAUUAACCCUUCCAUUGUGGCACACCAUAACAAGACUCGUGAAUUGUCGACAGAAUGCAU